This 468-nucleotide ribosomal RNA is filed under the name uncultured bacterium. RNAcentral's name for it is "partial 16S ribosomal RNA". It matches the Rfam family "Bacterial small subunit ribosomal RNA", at positions 28 to 507 of the family's 1533-position model. The record is from RNAcentral.
GACGAACGCUGGCGGCGUGCUUAACACAUGCAAGUCGAACGGAAAGGCCCUGCUUUUGUGGGGUGCUCGAGUGGCGAACGGGUGAGUAACACGUGAGUAACCUGCCCUUGACUUUGGGAUAACUUCAGGAAACUGGGGCUAAUACCGGAUAGGAGCUCCUGCUGCAUGGUGGGGGUUGGAAAGUUUCGGCGGUUGGGGAUGGACUCGCGGCUUAUCAGCUUGUUGGUGGGGUAGUGGCUUACCAAGGCUUUGCCGGGUAGCCGGCCUGGGAGGGUGACCGGCGACAUUGGGACUGAGAUACGGCCCAGACUCCUACGGGAGGCAGCAGUGGGGAAUAUUGCACAAUGGGCGGAAGCCUGAUGCAGCAACGCCGCGUGCGGGAUGACGGCCUUCGGGUUGUAAACCGCUUUCGCCUGUGACGAAGCGUGAGUGACGGUAAUGGGUAAAGAAGCACCGGCUAACUACGUG